GUGGGGAAUAUUGGGCAAUGGGCGAAAGCCUGACCCAGCAACGCCGCGUGAAGGAAGAAGGUUUUCGGAUCGUAAACUUCUAUCCUUGGUGAAGAUAAUGACGGUAGCCAAGAAGGAAGCCCCGGCUAACUACGUGCCAGCAGCCGCGGUAAUACGGAGGGGGCAAGCGUUGUCCGGAAUGAUUGGGCGUAAAGGGCGCGUAGGCGGCCCGGUAAGUCUGAAGUGAAAGUCCUGCUUUUAAGGUGGGAAUUGCUUUGGAUACUGUCGGGCUUGAGUGCAGGAGAGGUAAGCGGAAUUCCCGGUGUAGCGGUGAAAUGCGUAGAGAUCGGGAGGAACACCAGUGGCGAAGGCGGCUUACUGGACUGUAACUGACGCUGAGGCGCGAAAGUGUGGGGAGCAAACAGGAUUAGAAACCCCAGUAGUCC
RNAcentral lists this ribosomal RNA (425 nucleotides) under uncultured bacterium. Its description in RNAcentral is "partial 16S ribosomal RNA". It matches the Rfam family "Bacterial small subunit ribosomal RNA", at positions 354 to 796 of the family's 1533-position model. The record is from RNAcentral.